RNAcentral lists this long non-coding RNA (570 nucleotides) under Marmota monax (woodchuck). The record is from RNAcentral. Lineage: Eukaryota; Metazoa; Chordata; Mammalia; Rodentia; Sciuridae.
UUAGCACUUUGUUUCCAUUGUUUUAUCAGCUAGGUAAGCUGGUUAUACUUUUCUGUGGUUUUCAUUAAUGAUAAAGUGCUACUGGAUUUUUUCAUUAAGCUUUUCCUAAAUAUCUUUCUGAGUGGUCAUGGCCAGUUGCUACACUCAUUUCUUAGUUAGACCCAAUACCAAUGAAAGAAAAGUAUUGCAUUAGUAACUAAGUUAUGUGUUUGUGGUAUAGCAAGAAAAUAGGAUCCCAAGCCCUGGACAUUGAUUGGGUCCCUUCCUUUUCCCACCAGCCUAAGAUAGGGGGCCAAGCUUCUGGGCUCUGCUGUGCCCAGCUUCUGGGCUCUACUGGAUUUUUCACUGCACAGGUCCGUAAACCUGAAGUGUGCCUCUGCUAGGAAAAGGGACUUUCCCAGAAGUCAUAUCCAUUCUAAUAUCAUGCAUUAUUCGUUUUGUUUUUUGGUGCUGGAGAUUUUUGCUCAUGCAUUGCAUGUACUGUACCACUGAGUUAUACUUCCAGCCCUAACACCAUGUGUUCUUAAUCCCAUAUGAAUCCUCUUUGUGCUGCCUGUGUACUAUUUCUAU